CUCCCAGACUGGAGUGCAGUGGCGUGAUCUUGGCUUGCUGCAACCUCUGCCUUCCAGGUUCAAGCGAUUAUCCUGCCUCAGCCUCCCGAGUAGCUGGGACUACAGGUGCAUGCCACCAUGCCUGGCUAAUUUUUUUUUGUAUUUUUAGUAAAGAUGAGGUUUCACCAUAUUGGCCAGGCUGGUCUCAAAAUCCUGACCUUGUGAUCUGCCCACCUUGGCCUCCCAAAGUGCUGGGAUUACAGGUAUGAGCCACCGCGCCCGGCCCCUUCACUCUUUUUAAGAACAUAUUUUUAAUUUCUUGCAUUGAAAUCAUAAUUUGACACUAUUUUUUGUUGUUGUUUUUACUUGUCUCUUUUAACUGGACUGUAAGCCAACAAUAGAAGGAACCUUUUGUGUUUCACUCACUACUGUGUCCCCAGUGCCUAGAACAGGGCGUGUACAUAGGAAGCAGGAAAUAAACUUUUUUUAAAAGAAAUGAAUGGGGAGCUGAUUUUUCAUGCCCUUGAGAAGCCAAGAUCUCGAAGCAGGCAUAUGUGGGGGUGUCAAAAGCAGGUCAGGAGGUCGUCUCAUUUCCUUGUACUUUCGUUGCAUCAAGGUGCUAACACUGCUUCUCAGGUACCAUUUGUUAACUGAACCAUCAAUGCUUAGGAAGUAGAAAGGAAGAAAUGAAAUAAUUAUGUUUCAGAUUGAGCCCUUUUCCUGGAAACUUGGAAGAGUGUUCCAUACCAUCCAGUCUUUCUGUCACUUUUACCUAUUUCAGGUGUGUCCAGUCUCAGCUGGGAAUGGAAGAUGCUUUGCAUAUCUUUAAAAUCUUCGGGCCAUAGAGUUGGGGAGAGUACAGAAAGAAUACCACAGAACUUUUACGCCAGAAAAUGGCAGGUGCUCCGAGGGCAAUGUUGGAAUGCUUGGAGUGCAUAAAAAUACCAAGAUUGGGCGUCCUUGCUCCCAGUCUUUCCAGAUGUUCUUCCCACUCCUCAACUGCUCCUGGCUCAGAAACCCUGCACACCUGGAAGAAAGUGAGAACCAGUUUUUCAAUAAACAGCUUGCACAGACUUAUUGUGAACCCCGGGUGGAAUCAAGCAUCGGAGGGAGAAGAGAACGUGGUAAUAUUGACUCCAAUCCAGAAGACAGUCAUCAGUUAAGUAAAUAAAACAGGAACAGAACAUUGGUACUUACAGUAGGCAUGAUUUUAAGAUAAACCCCAAUGAGUCAUACCCUUGUAUAAUCUCCUCCCCUUGAGUGUUGUUGGAGCUAAGGAGUUGCAUUUAGUGAACAGAAUAUGGCAAAGAUGGUGGGAUCGUCACUUCCGUGGUUACGUUAUUGCUAUGUAAACUGCCAUUAUAGCAGACUGGAAGGAUUGAUUCUCCUUUUGGCCAUGAAGUAGUGAGGUGCCAUGUGACAAGAAACUGCAGGCAGCCUCCUGAGUCUGAGAGUGGUCCCUGGCUGACAGCUAGCAAGAAAACACGGACUUCAGUCCUCCAGCUUCAAGGAAGUGAACUCUCUGAAAUCACAUACACAUGGAAGAGGACCCCAAACUCCAGACUCCAGAAAAGAAUGCAGCUGUGUCGACACCUAGAUCACAGCCUUGUGAGACCCUGAGCAGGGGACCCAGUUAGGCUGUGCCUCAACUCCUGACCUGUAGAAACUGAGAUGGUAAAUGGGUGUUGUUUUAAGCCACUAAACUGGGAUGUGUUAUGAAAUGACAGAAAUUUAAUACAGUCUCCGUAUUCAGGGUGGAGUGUAAGAGAGUGUGUUUAAAUCUCAGCUUUGCUACUUAUUAGAUGUACAACCAUGGCAAAUUACUUAACCCCUCUGAAUCUGUUACCUUUAUGGUAAAAUAGGAACAAAAAUUAUACCUAUUUCAGGAUGAUGAAGAGGGAAUGAAAUGGUACACGUUGAGUCACUUAACGUGGUACCUGACACAUAGUGACUUCUCAAUACAUGUUUUUCAUUGUCAUCAGAGGUUGGACAUUUUAAAUUCCAUAAUCCUAAAUGUUUUUUUCAUUAUUUUUUCUAUGUUGCUCAUGUUUUGAAGAUUUUCAUUUAUCGUAUUAUCUGAUUUUAUUUAUUAAGUAAUCAUUCAUUUUCAUUUCCUCAUCUAUUUUUUUUCUUUUCUUUUCUUUUUUUGAGAUGGAAUCUCGCUUUGUCACCCAGGCUGGAGUGCAGUGGCGCAAUCUUGGCUCCUGAGUAUCUGAGAAUACAGGCACAUGCCACCACACCCAGAUAAAUUUUUUGUAUUUUUUUAGUAGAGACAGGGUUUCACCAUGUUACCCUGGCUGGUCUCGAACUCUUGACCUCAAGUGAUCCACCUGCCUUGGCCUCCCAAAGUGCUGGGAUUACAGGUGUGAGCCACUACGCCCAGCCCUCCCCAUCUAUUUCUAAUUCAUGACCUACAUACAGCUUCUGAUUAGCUUGGGGUAUUCUUAAUAGAUUAAUUAUAAUUAAUGUAGUUUGGCUAAAAGCAGACAUUUAGUGUUAUAGUUAGUAGAAUUUCCCUUAACUUUUGAAAUAUAAGAAAUGAAUUGUUGAACUUUGCCAGAUUACCAUUUGGAACCACAGUGUUAGCUGAUUGAUGGUAAAUAGGCAUUGGGUGACUUUCUGCAGCUAAGCAAGGCAAUCAUGAUUUGCCUUUAUAUGCCAGCAUAUUUGCUCAGAUAUUGCUGGAUGGGUGAGAAUGGCUGAAAAGAAAGUUGUUAGUUCAAGUGAAGGAAGGAAGUGCCCAGAAAGAAAGAGAAGAUAAAAUAUUAACAUUAUUUAGGUACUUAAUGGCUGGGAAUUAACUUAUGAAUCACAAAAGUUUUAGGAAUUGUUGUGCAAUGUCAGUAUUUAAAUUAUGGUAAAAUGAAUAAGUAUGCUUCAUUUAUGUUGUGUUUAUAGUAAAAUGCUCUUAUUUUGUAAUUUAUUUUGUGUAUAAUAAAAUAAGAGCAUUUUAAUCUAAAAUUAUAAUAUUUGAAGUAUGAUUGCUACUCUUUCAUUAGUGCUUUAUUUCCUCUUUGAAUAUUAUCUAAAAUAUUGCAUUAUAUUAUGUUAUUAAUAUCAAGGCCUAAUGUAUUCAGUUUCUAGAUGAACACUUUUCAAGUUGAUUACAGACUUGAUAGGGAAUUAUAUUUAUUUAAUAGAAGUCUCUUUAAAAUUCUGAGAAACAAGAAAAAGCUAUGUUAUAAGGAACUAGUUCAUCUGCUGUAAAAGUACACUGACAUUUUAAAGUGCAAAAAACCAAAAUACAGCUUAAGAAGUAUGUCUGAAAAGUUGAUGUUAAAUAAAUUAGAUUUUCCAGGUUAUACUCUAUAUACGCCCUGAAAAAGUUCUGCAAUACAACGCAUAGAAAACAUACACAUACUCACACAACAGACACAUAAUACAUAAAACACCCAUAGUGCACACAUGCAAAACACACAAAUGGCAACCCCUAUAAGCAUAUUAAGGUCUCUGAGAAGUCCUAUAAUAGAGACCUACUAAGUUUUGUUUAAUCACGUGCUUCUCCAAUUGAUCUCAGAAUCCUUCCCCCACCAUCACAGGUAACCCUGAUUCCUGAUGACUUUGUGUUCCUUGGAACACACUUUAUGAAUGACGGCUCUAUGAGAUUUUUCCCAAGGAAAACUAUUACACAGGAGAAGUAUAAGAUGCCCUCAACGUUUAUGGGUAAAAAACAGAUACCACCAUUAAAAUAACCCAUAUAUCAGAAACAAUACCUCCAAAUUAUGUGAAGAACAUUGAGAAUUCUUGCAGGGACUGAAAAUCUUUAUUUCCUUCUGGAAUCCAGGUUCUUUCUUUUGGUGUUAUGUACAGAUAAAGCCAGGUCUAUCUGCAGGUGAUCACUGUGCUGCUAGUCUCUGUUCACAUUGGUAGAAAGAUGUCGUUGGGUAGUAAAAGAUGGUCAUCUUCCUGCAAAAUAAGUCAGUAACCCAAGGGUGAAAGCUGUGUCUCCCCCACAAGUUCUAUCAGCAUCUUUUGACUUGACAGCACAAUUGGGAGCCUUAUCCUUUCUGCAUUCCUGACACAGAUGACCAAAGGCCAGUCCUUAACAACUUGUACCGCUCUCUCUGUUUAUUCCAUAAAGAGUGAAAAAGGAAUAUAUUUCCACACUUUAAGACUAUAUGGUGGGGCAUUUGGAGGGUGCUUACUCUGAUAAUUAAAAGGAUUUUAUCUUCAUAAGGAAAUCGACAUUUGCUGUCAGGAUGCCAGACAACAAUUCUAUAGAAGCUUUUCUCUUUUUUUAUGAUUGAUAUGGUUUGGCUGUGUGUCUCCACCCAAAUCUCAUGUCGAAUUGUAAUCCCCAUAUGUGAGGGGAUGCUCCUGGUGGGAGGUAAUUGGGUCAUGGGAGUGGAUUUCCUCCUUGCUGUUUUUGUGAUAGUGAGUGACUUCUCACGAGAUCUGAUGGUUUAAAAGUGUAUGACACUUUCCCCUUCACUCUCUGUCUCUCCUGCUCUGCCAUGGUAAGAUGUGCUUGCUUUCUCUUCAUCUUCCACCAUGAUUGUAAGUUUCCUGAGGCCUUCCAACCAUGCUUCCUGUCCAGCAUGUGGAACUGGAACUGUGAGUCAAUUAAACCUCUUUUAUUCAUAAA
Long non-coding RNA from Gorilla gorilla gorilla (western lowland gorilla), 4564 nucleotides. RefSeq lists it as uncharacterized. NCBI's taxonomy places the organism in Eukaryota, Metazoa, Chordata, Mammalia, Primates, Hominidae. The transcript is spliced from 3 exons. The record is from RefSeq and is a predicted model, not a curated record.